This 292-nucleotide ribosomal RNA is filed under the name uncultured bacterium. RNAcentral describes it as "partial 16S ribosomal RNA". It matches the Rfam family "Bacterial small subunit ribosomal RNA", at positions 505 to 796 of the family's 1533-position model. The record is from RNAcentral.
GUGCCAGCAGCCGCGGUAAUACGGGGGGUGCAAGCGUUGUUCGGAAUUAUUGGGCGUAAAGAGCGUGUAGGCGGCUUGGUAAGUCAGAUGUGAAAGCCCUGGGCUUAACCCAGGAAGUGCAUUUGAUACUGUCAUGCUAGAGUAGGGGAGAGGAAAGCGGAAUUCCUGGUGUAGAGGUGAAAUUCGUAGAUAUCAGGAGGAACACCGGUGGCGAAGGCGGCUUUCUGGCCCUAUACUGACGCUGAGACGCGAGAGCGUGGGGAGCAAACAGGAUUAGAUACCCCCGUAGUCC